RNAcentral lists this transfer RNA (75 nucleotides) under mine drainage metagenome. RNAcentral's name for it is "tRNA-Arg". It matches the Rfam family "tRNA". Rfam says of the family: Transfer RNA (tRNA) molecules are approximately 80 nucleotides in length. The record is from RNAcentral.
GUCCCCGUAGCUCAGUCGGAUAGAGCGACCGCCUCCUAAGCGGUAGGCCACCAGUUCAAUUCUGGUCGGGGACAC